RNAcentral lists this ribosomal RNA (253 nucleotides) under uncultured bacterium. RNAcentral describes it as "partial 16S ribosomal RNA". It matches the Rfam family "Bacterial small subunit ribosomal RNA", at positions 524 to 776 of the family's 1533-position model. The record is from RNAcentral.
UACGUAGGGGGCAAGCGUUGUCCGGAUUUAUUGGGCGUAAAGAGCGUGUAGGCGGUUUGGUAGGUCCGUUGUGAAAACUCGAGGCUCAACCUCGAGACGCCGGCGGAAACCAUCAGGCUAGAGUCCGGAAGAGGAGAGUGGAAUUCCUGGUGUAGCGGUGAAAUGCGCAGAUAUCAGGAAGAACACCCGUGGCUAAGGCGGCUCUCUAGUACGGUACUGACGCUGAGACGCGAAAGCGUGGGGAGCAAACAGG